CACGCUGUAAACGAUGGAUACUAGGUGUAGGAGGUAUCGACCCCUUCUGUGCCGGAGCAAACGCAAUAAGUAUCCCGCCUGGGGAGUACGGCCGCAAGGUUGAAACUCAAAGGAAUUGACGGGGGCCCGCACAAGCAGCGGAGCAUGUGGUUUAAUUCGAAGCAACGCGAAGAACCUUACCAGGUCUUGACAUCCUGCUAAAGCUAUUGAAAGGUAGCGUCCCGCAAGGGGAGCAGAGACAGGUGG
RNAcentral lists this ribosomal RNA (246 nucleotides) under uncultured Clostridia bacterium. Its description in RNAcentral is "partial 16S ribosomal RNA". It matches the Rfam family "Bacterial small subunit ribosomal RNA", at positions 796 to 1041 of the family's 1533-position model. Lineage: Bacteria; Bacillati; Bacillota; Clostridia. The record is from RNAcentral.